CGCUGUGCCUGACGGUGACAAUCCCGAGCGAGAGGCCAGCUUUCCCGGCGCCAGCCACCCGGGUGGGGACUGCUGCCUGAGGCGAUGUCGCUGCCAGCCCGCGGAGCUUACCUGAGGUGGUGGUGUCUGGUCUAUGCGUGUGGGAGUUUGGUGUCCACAGAGGCCAGAGGAGGGUGGCAGAUCCCUGGGACUGGAGAACAAGCUAAAGAAGACACGUCUGCAAAGGAGGGAGCGCAGCAGAACUUGGAAGAAGCCAAGACAGUGUAGUAUCGUGAAUACCAAAGGAAAAGAAGGAACAAGUAAUUGACAAAGUCAAAUAUGGCUGACAGAUCAGAGACACUAUGUAGGCCUGACUGGCUUGGAAUUCACAGUAUGCAGCCCCAGAUGACUUCAGAGAGGAGACGAUUUCUGCAUUUUGAGUGCUGAGGUUGUAGGUCUGUCUGUGAAUUACAAAGGCAUGAAAAUCUCUGGAGAUUUAAAACUUUCCCAGAAGACAGCACAUCAACCACUGGGGUAAUGGGAUUUACAUCACAGCCACAACCAAAGACCGCCUCAGGCCUCUCAUCGUGGCUGCUCUCAGAAAGGCAAUUGCUACAAGGCUUCACUGGAAAGCCUGAAGAUGACAGAGCCGUUCCAAAAGGCCAACCCAUCUCCCUCCUCUGUACUUCUAAAGCCCGAGUGGAUGCCUACUAAAGG
This 696-nucleotide long non-coding RNA is filed under the name Rattus norvegicus (Norway rat). RNAcentral describes it as "long non-coding RNA NONRATT022626". Lineage: Eukaryota; Metazoa; Chordata; Mammalia; Rodentia; Muridae. The record is from RNAcentral.